RNAcentral lists this ribosomal RNA (595 nucleotides) under Atlantibacter hermannii. RNAcentral describes it as "bacterial SSU rRNA". It matches the Rfam family "Bacterial small subunit ribosomal RNA", at positions 787 to 1382 of the family's 1533-position model. The record is from RNAcentral. Lineage: Bacteria; Pseudomonadati; Pseudomonadota; Gammaproteobacteria; Enterobacterales; Enterobacteriaceae.
CUGGUAGUCCACGCCGUAAACGAUGUCGACUUGGAGGUUGUGCCCUUGAGGCGUGGCUUCCGGAGCUAACGCGUUAAGUCGACCGCCUGGGGAGUACGGCCGCAAGGUUAAAACUCAAAUGAAUUGACGGGGGCCCGCACAAGCGGUGGAGCAUGUGGUUUAAUUCGAUGCAACGCGAAGAACCUUACCUGGUCUUGACAUCCACAGAAUUCUGCAGAGAUGCGGAAGUGCCUUCGGGAACUGUGAGACAGGUGCUGCAUGGCUGUCGUCAGCUCGUGUUGUGAAAUGUUGGGUUAAGUCCCGCAACGAGCGCAACCCUUAUCCUUUGUUGCCAGCGGUCCGGCCGGGAACUCAAAGGAGACUGCCAGUGAUAAACUGGAGGAAGGUGGGGAUGACGUCAAGUCAUCAUGGCCCUUACGACCAGGGCUACACACGUGCUACAAUGGCGCAUACAAAGAGAAGCGACCCCGCGAGGGCAAGCGGACCUCAUAAAGUGCGUCGUAGUCCGGAUUGGAGUCUGCAACUCGACUCCAUGAAGUCGGAAUCGCUAGUAAUCGUGGAUCAGAAUGCCACGGUGAAUACGUUCCCGGGCCUU